UGAAUAAUAACUCCGUAAAGAAACUGCUGAUCUACCUACACUAAAACCCGAAACCAUUUCAUUUCAACAUUCGAAAUUACAAAUAUGUCAAAAUUGCAUUUGAAUUGCGCAAAGUGCAAACCGGAGGAAAAACAAAGCAAGCAACCUGAAACAACUCCAUGUAAGCACUGUCCGAUAGAACCAGACCUGGAAACAGCCCGAACGUGUAAAUGUGAAGCAACUGCGCGCGCCCUAAGCGAUGAUGUGCCCAGGUUUCUGGGAUUGAAAAACAUACGCGAUACAGUGCUGAGAGACCAGGAAAACGAAAUUGUGCUCAGUCCAAGCGUGCUUAAACAGCACAAAGACUCGAAGAAGACCAAAGACCUCAAGGAGACGAAAGAGCUCAAAAACCCCAAAGAGCCCAAAGCUCCUAAAGAGCCCAAAGACCCCAAAUUCUGCAAACAUCCAUAAACCCUACCAGAAAAUACAGAAAUCUCAAACCCAGUGAAAGAUGGUGGAAACACAGGCAGUGAAAAAAUGCAGCCUGAUAUAGCAAAGUCCAAAUAAAAAAUACCAACAUCUUUUACGUUCUUUUAUUAUGAUGAAAAUGUUAAAUAAUUACACAAAAUAUAUAAAAGAUAUUUAUAAA
Molecule: long non-coding RNA, 628 nt
Organism: Helicoverpa armigera (cotton bollworm)
Lineage: Eukaryota; Metazoa; Arthropoda; Insecta; Lepidoptera; Noctuidae
Exons: 2
Source: RefSeq, a predicted model, not a curated record